AAUCAACGCUGGCGGCGUGCCUCAGACAUGCAAGUCGAACGCGAAAGUUCCCUUCGGGGAGUGAGUAGAGUGGCGCACGGGUGGAGUAACACGUAGGUAAUCUACCUUUGGUAGUGGGGAAGUAAACAACCGGAAACGGGUUAGCUAAUAACCGCAUAAUGCAGCGGCACCUAAUGGUGACAGUUGUUAAAGACGGGGGAGUCGAAAGACCUCGCGUCUGAAGAGGAGCCUGCGGCGGAUUAGCUAGUUGGUAAGGUAACGGCUUACCAAGGCGACGAUCCGUAGCCGGCCUGAGAGGGCGGUCGGCCACACUGACACUGACAUAC
This 326-nucleotide ribosomal RNA is filed under the name uncultured bacterium. RNAcentral's name for it is "bacterial SSU rRNA". It matches the Rfam family "Bacterial small subunit ribosomal RNA", at positions 32 to 327 of the family's 1533-position model. The record is from RNAcentral.